GAUGAAGAACGCAGCGAAAUGCGAUAAGUAGUGUGAAUUGCAGAAUUCAGUGAAUCAUCGAAUCUUUGAACGCACAUUGCGCCCGCCAGUAUUCUGGCGGGCAUGCCUGUCCGAGCGUCAUUUCAACCAUCAAGCCCCGGGCUUGUGUUGGGGACCUGCGUCCGACGCAGGCCCUGAAAACCAGUGGCGGGCUCGCUGUCCACACCGAGCGUAGUAACUAACCUCGCUAUGGAGUGGCGCGGGCGCCUGCCGUAAAACCCCCAAUUUCACAAGGUUGACCUCGGAUCAGGUAGGAAUACCCGCUGAACUUAAGCAUAUCAAUAAGCGGAGGA
This 332-nucleotide unclassified non-coding RNA is filed under the name soil metagenome. RNAcentral's name for it is "partial contains 5.8S ribosomal RNA, internal transcribed spacer 2, and large subunit ribosomal RNA". The stretch from base 1 to 120 matches the Rfam family "5.8S ribosomal RNA", at positions 35 to 154 of the family's 154-position model. The record is from RNAcentral.